AAGGGAUAGUUUAGCCAAGAUUGGGUUCAUCCAAAAUUUCAACCAUUGUCAAUAGAUACGGGGGUUUAAGUUAAGAUCCUUUUAGCUCCGCAAAAGACAAAGCAGUAUCUACACCAUUUAAUUUAAAACCCUAAUUCUUUGAGGAGGUGAUUUGAUCACCACCCUCCUUUGCUACUUCCACCAUCAGAACCCUUGCCCCCAAGAGCUUGCUGCUUUGCCCCAUGAAUUAGUCAGUUUUGCACCUUCUUCAGUUCCUUGUUUUGCCUCACCAGAUUGAUUCCAACUAGAGGAUUGACCCCCGCUUGCAGCACUUGAUUGCUUCCAGUCAGAUGAUUGACCUCCAACAGCAGCACUUGGUUGCUCUCCGGUACCGCCUCCAAAUCCUGAACCUGUUCCUUUGUUCCAACCUGAACCCUGGUUGCCCCAGCCCCCAGCUUGUGCGUUUGAGCUCGGUCCCUUGUUCCAGCCGCCGUCUUGAUCAGUGUUUCCUUUGACUUCUUUGGCUGCAGUCGAUUGUUUCCACCUAGACGAUUGGUCCCCAUUAGAAGCAUCUGAUGAUUUCCAAUUGUUUCCCCAGCUUGUGCCCACUUCAUUAUGAGAACCUGUUCCCUUGUCCUGAGUGCCAGCAGUAUAUUUAGCCUCAACUGUCUGAUUCCAACCUGAUCCCGAACCACCAAUUCCUUUAGUCACAUCAGACUGGUUCCAACCGGAGCUCUGGCUACUCCAUCCGCUAGAGUUCCUACCCUGCCAAUCGUUCUUACUGCCACCUCCUUGGUUCCAACUUCCUCCACCUUUGUCCCUUUUCCAUCCCUCGCCAGCACCGUCUGCCCCUUUGCUCCAGCCUGAUGAGUUAUUAUCAAUAGAUUCAUUUCUAUUGCUCCAACCACCACUUUGAUACCUCCCACGGCCUCUUCCUCCGUAGCCUCUACCACCAAACCCUCCUUUGUCUGAUCUACCUCUACCACCAAAGCUCCCUCUGUCUCCGCCUCUACCACCAAAACCCCAUCUACGUCCAAAACCCCCUCUAUCCUCCUCUCUAUCACCACCUCUACCUACAAAACCCCGUCCACCUCUAAAACCUCCUCCGUCUGAAUUUCCUCUACCUGAACCACCUCUCCAAUUCCCACCACUUCGAUUAUUAUUGAAAUCCUCAGGUUGGUCUCCAUUCACACCAUCCAUUGAUUGACUGCCACCAAAAGAACUUGCCCUCUUCCAACCAUUAUCUUGAUUCCCCACUCCGCCAGACUCAUGUCCUGCUGUUACAUCAGCUUGUUUACCCCAUGAAGACCAUCCAGCUUGUUUACUCCAAUAAGAAUCUCCUGCUGGUUUAUUCCAAGCAGAACUGCCAUCUUGUUUAUUCCAAGUAGAACCUUCACCUUGUUUGUUCCAUGUAGGAUCUCCAUCUUGUUUAGUCCAAGUAGAACCUCCAUCUGAUUUACCCCAGGAAGCUCUUCUAUUGUCAUCUACACCACUUGGUUUCUUCCAACUGUCAUUCUGAUUCUCAUUAAUAAAAGCAGGUUUUGUCCAGCCACUUGCUUCAUCUUUGUUUCCUGCCUCUGAUUGGGCCCAAACCCCAUCUGCAUUACCCCAGCUUCCUAUCUGAACAUGCGGACUCACCAUUGGCACAUAAAGCGGAGCAUCAUUCAAUGAUCUUGGUGCAGACCAUGGUGCUGCUGUUGAUGACGAUGCACCUUGUAAUGAUGCGGAUCCGCCAUUACCACAUCCAGAUGGGGGUUCAGAUUCUCUUGCAGCUGUAGGAUCAGGGUGAUUAAACCUGCAGUUUGUACCAAACAUGCAGGAGGCAUUUCGCAUAUAGAAGGAACAGUCUUUCUCCCCCUGUAACAAGUUAAAAUAAAUAUUCAGGUAGCACACCAAUAAAAUAAGCAAAGAUAAAUCAUAAAUCUUAAACAUCAUGAAUAGAUAUUCAUUCCUCAAAAUUUUGCAGAUCAAACCUAGAAUUCAUACCGGUCGAAUUGGCAGGCCCAGAAAGUUACAUUCUGGAAUUGGAGCUACGGAAGGUUCCCCUCUUCCGGGAUUUAAACUACAAGCUUUUUCAUAUUUACGUCCUCCUGACCUGGAAUAAUCCUGCAACAAGCUCAAGUGUUAUACCCCAUCAUCAAAACACAAAAAACUACUUAAUACCAAAUAUAUGAAGUAAAACAAAAUCUAGACAUGAGGAACAAACAAUUGCAGUAAAAACCAUAACUUGAGAUAGAAAGUUUCUGAGAAAUCAUAACGAAAAUAACCUUGCAUUCGGUCUGGCCUGGCUUCUCUGCUGCCAACCCGUCCCUUUCCUUCAUCUUGUCCUUGGACACCUUCAAUUAAUAUGAUAAUCAGUCUCAAUCUUCCAACCAGAAACAUAAAUAUGCAAAUGCUGAAGGAAAAAGAAGAGAGAUAUACCUGAUUGUUAUAAAGCUCAUCAUGGACGUCUGGGUCGAAUUUUCGAAUCUUAUCAAGCAGGGCAGGGUCGAGUUUCCGAAUUUUAUCAAGGCGGGCAUCAAGUUUCCGAAUCUCUUCAAGGAUGGCAAGAUCGAGAUCAGAGAGUUCAGCAUUUGGCGGAACGUCGGGAUUUGGGAGGCCGAUGGGAGCUGUCAACAUCACUGCUGAUCGUGUUUUUGAUGAAGGAAGCUGGGUUGCUGGGUUUGCUUACACCCUGCAGUGCCAGUCACAUAUCAUCACACAUCUGAUUACCACGGCAUUGAAUUCGAGUUUGAUUCCCUUCCCUUUAGUUUUGGCUUGUGGAAAUUGGGCCAGUGUUUUGAUUGGUAAAAUCAAAGUCACCUGCUUUUUCCUUUUCUCUUUCCGUCCUGAAUUUUUCUUCGUCUCGAAGAAAAACUCACGACAGGAAACAUUGUGGACUUGAACCUUCUCCUUCAAUCACAAACACCAACCUCCUUUAUGUGUUAUUUGUUUGAGUUGCUUAAUUUCACUGACCUAUUACCAAAAAAAAUUCAAACCCCAUUUACCAAGCCCAAAACCAAAGUAUGAUAUCCUUCUUAGUAAAGUUAUACCUAAUUUGUAUUUAAAAGAAAACCCCCUCUCUAUCCCUUGUUGGCGGUAGUUUUGGUUUUGGAGGGACUAAAAAGUUAUCCAUUACAGAAGUGGCCAAUUGAAGAUACUCGGGAAGUUAUCCAUUCCAUCAAGUUCUCACAUCUGAAACUGAAAGGCCUGUGGCAGCUGGGAUAAAAAGUUUGAUACAUUUCCAAGACUAAAUAACAUAAAAGGAGUUGCAUGUCCUUGGUGAUGCGAAUCCUGUGCUCUAGCAUCCAUUUCAGUUUUCAUGCAAAACUUAUUACAGUGGCUGCGACUGAUUGUAGCAUCAGUUCUACUUCUACUUCCAGAUGUUCCCUGCCCCAUUUGUAGUCGCCGGGUAGCAGAAGGGAAGUUGAUAACGACGGAUGGUCAAAUUUACAAGCUGGCCCAGAAUUGCAAAUGCCAUAGGUACUGUAUUGUGUGCAAAUGUUCUAGCCCUGGAUUUGAAACAAAUUUGGUAUUAAAAAAAAUUGUGAUCAAUGACAUGCACUAAUAAAGCGUAAUAUGUGAUCAAAGAUAGGCUCUCAUAGUUAGUCAAGAAUCUUUAUGUUGAAUACAAAGGACUGGUAAUGAACAUUUUCGUGGUGCACAUUGCUAAUUUAUCCAAAGGAAGCUAAAAAUUUGCAAAAUUUUGAACUUCCCAAUUAUUCCAUUACUUAAAAAAAUUGUGCAACAGCAACUUGUUUGAUCCUAUUCCAUAAUUAUGUAUGCACUUAAAAAAAAACACACAAUUCAAAGAAGAGUGAACUUACUGGUCUCAAAGGGAGGCCUAUGUCACUCAGUGCACAUGAGGGGAACAAUGCAGUCUGAUUUUUUGGAUGGUGAUAUUUGCAAUUAGAUAUAAACUUACAAUCCCCUGUUCUUGAGAAGUAAAUGCAAGCAGGUUGCCCAGGUCGUUCUGGGAGUUGUUCAACUUGCUUCUGCUGUGGAUGUUGUUCAUAGGCGUUAGUUUCAGUUACAAUCCCCUGUUCUUGAGAAGUAAAUGCAAGCAGGUUGCCCAGGUCGUUCUGGGAGUUGUUCAACUUGCUUCUGCUGUGGAUGUUGUUCAUAGGCGUUAGUUUCAGUUACUGAGUAGUUCAUAACAUAUGGUGGGGGGCAGGCAUGCUUCUUUCUGGAAGAUAUUCUAAAGCCUAAACCUGGCACAACCAAAAAAAAAAAAUUGAAAUGAAAACCAUGCAUGCGAAAAUGCAAAAGAGAUGCCCAUGGCAGUUGAAUAUGGCAAAUGUCAUAGCUAUGGUAUUGUGUGCAAAUGCUCUGACGCAGGGAUUUGAAACAAAACUUGUGUGAUCAAUGGCAUUGAAUAAUGAAGCGUAAUAUGUGAUCAAACACAGGCUCUCAGAGUCAUAGUUAGUCAAGAAUCUUUCUGCUGAAAGAGAAAAAAAAAAAAAAAAGACACGUCCACAACUUUCACUACAAUCUCUUCCCAAGGUCAAAUUUGUGUCAGCAAUGAACAUUUUCGUGGCACAUUGCUGAUUUAUCCAAAGGAACAUAAAAACUUGCAAAAUUUUGAGUUGUCCAAUUAUUCCGUGUUUUUAAAAAAAAAAAAUUGCGCAACAGGUACUUGUUAGAUCAUAUUCCAUAAUUAUGCAUUCACUUUGAAAAGCACAAUUCAAAGAAGAGUGAACUUACUGGUCCCAAAGGGAGGCCCUUGUCACUCAGGACACUGCAGUGUGAUUGUUUGGAUACUGAUAUUUGCAAUUAGAUCGUUCUGGGAGUUCUUCAACUUGCUUCUGCUGUGGAUGUUGUUCAUAGGAAUUGGUCUCAGUGACUGAGUGAUUCAUAACAAAGGGUGGAGGUGCAGACAUGCUUUUUUUUGGUAGAUAUUCUGGAGCCUAAACAUAGCACAACCAAAAAAAAUAAUUGAAGGGAAAAACAUGCAUGCGAAAAUGCAAAAGAGAUGCUCAUGGAAGUUGAAUAUUGUGAAUGACAUAGCUAUGGUAUUGUGUGCAAACGUUCUGACACUGGUAUUUGAAACAAAGUUAGUACAAAAUUUGUGUGAUAAAUGGCAUGAUAUAAUUAAGUGUAAUAUGCGAUCAGGCUCUCAUAGUUAGUCAAGAAUCUUUAUGUCGAAAGAGACAUGUUGGUUUUCCUCACCAAAAAAAUUAAAAAAAAGAGACAUGUCGACAACUUUCACUACAAUCUCUUCCCAGGGUCAAAUUUGUAUUAGUAAUGAUUACUUUCGUGGUACAUUGCCAAUUUAUCCAAAGGACGCUAAAACUUUGCAAAUUUUUGAAAUUUCCAAUGAUUCAAUCACUUAAAAUAUUGUACAGCAGGUACUUGUUAGAUCAUAUUCCAUAAUUAUGUAUUCACUUUAGAAAGCACAAUUCAAAGAAGAGUGAACUUACUGUUCUCAAAGGAAGGCCAUUGGCACUCAGUGCACACGAGGGGGACACUGCAGUCUGAUUUUUUUGGAUGGUGAUAUUUGCAAUUAUAUUUAAACAUACAAUCCCCUGUUCUUGAGAACUAAAUGCAAACAGGUUGCCCAGGUCGUUGGAGGAGUUUUUCAACUUUCUUCUGCUGUGGAUGUUGUUCAAAGGUGUUGGUUUCAGUCACUGAGUGGUUCAUAACAUAGGCGAGUUGCAGGCAAGAUUCUUUCUGGUAGAUAUUGUGGAGCCUAAACAUUGCACAACCAAAAACAUUUGAAGGGAAAACCAUGCAUGCGAAAAUGAAAAAGAGAACAGUAGUACUCCUAUUAUACUAGUUGAAUGCACGCGAGAGAGGGAGAGAGAGAGAGAGAGAGAGAGAGAGAGAGAGAGAGAGAGAGAGAGAGAGAGAGGUCAUAUUACUAGUUUCAUGAGAAAAAUGAAUAAAAAAUAACAUAGAACAAAAAGGUUAACACAAAAAAGAUUUAUUUGAAAUCUUAUCCCUUAAGAAAUGUUAAUUGGUGUAUCAAAGUGAGGAUAGUUAGUCAAACUGAAGACUAUAAUACGGGAGUGAUGAAUAAAAGUACCUGAACCAUUCCAUUCUGUAUUUUAGGAAGGAAUCCCUUUGAUAUGGUGGAAUCAUCAUCUUUUUUAAGAAAAGCUUGAACGUUGACAAAGGGAUAGUUAAGCCAAGAUUGGGGUUCAUCCAAAAUUUCAACCAUUGUCAAUAGAUACGGGGGUUUAAGUUAAGAUCCUUCUAGCUCUGUAAAAGACAAAGCAGUAUCUACACCAUUUAAGUUAAAACCCUAAUUCUUUGAGGAGGUGAUUUGAUCACCACCCUCCUUUGCUACUUUCACCAUCAGAACACUUGCCCCAAGAGCUUGCUACUGCUGCUUUGCCCCAUGAAUUAGUCGGUUUUGCACCUUCAUCAGUUCCUUGUGCCUCACCAGAUUGAUUCCAACUAGAGGAUUG
Molecule: long non-coding RNA, 6368 nt
Filed under: Prunus persica (peach)
Lineage: Eukaryota; Viridiplantae; Streptophyta; Magnoliopsida; Rosales; Rosaceae
Description: long non-coding RNA (PPER_LNC005480)
Source: RNAcentral